This is an RNA transcript of Symphalangus syndactylus (siamang), 621 nucleotides long. It is a transcript of the gene named protein RCC2-like, with no coding region annotated. Lineage: Eukaryota; Metazoa; Chordata; Mammalia; Primates; Hylobatidae. The record is from RefSeq and is a predicted model, not a curated record.
AUGCUUCUACAAGGGUCAAGAACCCAUCAGCCAGUAACAGUUGUGUAAGACGUGGCCUGUGAUGCUAACCACACAUUGAUUCUGGACUCCAAGAAAUGAGUCUUCUCCUGGGGCUUUGGUGGCUAUAGUUGGCUGGGCCACUCGGAGCAGAACGAUGAGAUGGUCCCCACUUGGUGAAGUUGGAGUCUGACUUCCUUGGGUGUGGGGCAUCCCAGCUCCAUGUUGGUUACACCUGUUCCUUUGCUGUCUGUGAAGUUGGUAGUCUCUUUUUCUGGGGAUCCCAAUAUCUCCCGUGAAUCUUCCAUGUACCUGAAAGCCGUGCAGGACCUCUGCAGCUUUAGAAUCCGGAGCCUGGCUUGUGGGAAGAGCAGCAUCAUUGUGGCCGCCAAUGAGAGCACCAUCAGCUGGGGGCCAUAACCAACCUUUAGGUAAUUGGGAUACAGGGACCAUGAGCCCAAGUCUUCUACUGCAGCCCAAGAGGUGAAGACUCUGGAUGGCAUCUUUUCAAAGCAGGUCUCCAUAAGCUACUCACACUCCUUGGUGAUAGCGCAAGAUGAAAGUGAGACCAGGAAAGAGAAGAUCAAGAAACUGCUAGAGCCGGUUGCGGUGGCUCACCUGUAA